Molecule: long non-coding RNA, 1218 nt
Filed under: Nicotiana benthamiana
Lineage: Eukaryota; Viridiplantae; Streptophyta; Magnoliopsida; Solanales; Solanaceae
Description: long non-coding RNA (NBEN_LNC029430)
Source: RNAcentral
AUCAGUCAAAAUUUACCUCUGAAAGGUUCUUUGAUCUUCUGUGAAAUUUCAGUCUAAAAAAUAGCUUUGAAAAAUAUCAGAAAUCUACUAUUCUUUAUAAGUUGAAAACGUGGUUUCAACAGAAGAUUUUUCUAGUUAUCUAGCUAGGUUCCCUGGUUUGUAGCUGGUUUUGAGUUUAUUUGAAAUCUCUGGUCAUUUCUGGUUUUAUUGUUGUUGGUCUGCUGGUUUACUACUGAAGUCUGGGCUUCCACUUCUCUUCUGACUUUCUUAGACCGUAUUUGGUCAUUUCUUUAGUCAUAUUUUCAACUUCAAGGUAUAUACAAUGCUUCUUUUGAAUGGAAUCAUUUUCUGUGUUUAAAAUUUGUAUUUGAAACUUGUUUAUUUAGCCGAUUUUGGGAUAUUUUGGUUUGUGAAUCUUAACUCGUUUUAGAAGAUAAGCAGGCUAUGUUAUAGAAUUAAAUGUUUGUUUGAGCUGAAACCAUGAAAUCUGUAAGGAUGUAUCAUAUUCAUAUGUAUAAACUUCACAUUUUUUUGCCAAGUGGGUAUGUGUAUGCAUUUUUGAACCUUGGGCCAAAACAUUCUACCUAUGGCAGCACAAUGGAUUAAAGAAUCCGGCCUUCAAAUGGUCAAAUUCAUCCUUUUAAAGUCCAUAAAAGUCUGCUUUUAGUAUAUGUUCGUGAUAUCUUCCCUCCCUAUUCUUCUCCUCCACUGAGGUGAGGACCAUGGAAUAAAUCAUGGUUUUGGGAAUCAUUGUGUGUCUAUAAGGGUGACCCUCAAUAUGGUUAGACUUUAUGGACAUAUUGUCUUUUCCCUCUAGCUCAUUCUGUGUUGAGAUUAGCUUAGUUACAUUACUAUAGCAGCAUGUCGAGUAUUUCAUCCAGCUUAAGUUCAUUCAAAUGUUGAAGGAAUACAGAAUGUUCAAUUAUGAAUGCUUGUUUGUCUGUUGUCACCCUUUAGUUAAUAUAAAGAUUACAGUAGUUCAAUACUUUCAAGUAAACUGAUGGCCAUUCAUUACUGUUAUUUGUUUGAAUUGGCAUGUGAUAUUGUCUCAAGGUCAAGAAAUUUGCAAAGCUAGAGUUGAAAUGUGGACUUGUGAGGGGCAGUUCUAUAGCUGCUCCCUUGCAAAGGCACACGUUAUAAGAGGAAACUUGAUGGCAAUGAGGGAAUCAAAAUCAGGAUGUUCUUGAGCCAAUUCAGGCAGUAUUAUAAGCUGUGAAG